This 305-nucleotide ribosomal RNA is filed under the name uncultured bacterium. RNAcentral describes it as "bacterial SSU rRNA". It matches the Rfam family "Bacterial small subunit ribosomal RNA", at positions 333 to 654 of the family's 1533-position model. The record is from RNAcentral.
GGUGUCCUACGGGACGCAGCAGUCGGGAAUAUUGCACAAUGGAGGAAACUCUGAUGCAGUGACGCCGCGUGCAGGAAGAAGGUUUUCGGAUUGUAAACUGCUUUGGAUAGGGAAGAAAAAAGACAGUACCUAUAGAAUAAGCUCCGGCUAACUACGUGCCAGCAGCCGCGGUAAUACGUAGGGAGCAAGCGUUAUCCGGAUUUAUUGGGUGUAAAGGGUGCGUAGACGGGAAUUUAAGUUAGUUGUGAAAUCCCUCGGCUUAACUGAGGAACUGCAACUAAAACUGAAUUUCUUGAGUGCGGGAG